This 587-nucleotide long non-coding RNA is filed under the name Pan troglodytes (chimpanzee). RNAcentral describes it as "long non-coding RNA NONPTRT007672". The record is from RNAcentral. Lineage: Eukaryota; Metazoa; Chordata; Mammalia; Primates; Hominidae.
UUUGUCUACUCCUUCCAAUGACCCUGAUUUAACUGUAAUAGCUACAUACAUGAUCUUUCAGUUAUGCACAUGGGAAAAUAACUGUAAAAGAAUACAGGCAACACUUAGAAAAAGGAAAAAUAAUAAACACAGGAAAAGAAACGCACUAUUACUAGAAAGCAGGGAAAUGCGUAUUGAAUGUAAAGGACCAUGGCAGAGCUUACGUGAUCUUCGGAGGCCAGAGGAUUGAAAUUGGAGACUUGAAGACCCUCAAACACAUGAACAGUGUUACUCUAAUAUUUAGCAAGUUCCUUGGGAAGACACAAAACCAUCACCACUAGAAAAUGCCUUUGACCAAGCCUUGGACAGAUGAAGACAAAGCGGAGCACACAUCACGAAAAGUGUCUGUCUCGUCCGCAGCCUGGCCUACCCUUCCCCCAUCAAGGUGGAGAAAAUCAACUUACCAUAAAUUAUGCAGCCUUAAACCAAGUGCUUCACUAUUCUGGGAGUUAACAACCUCAUUUGUAAAAUCAGUGGAUGAGACUAUCCUAGAAAAUGACCUUUAAGACCUUUUCCGGGUCUAACUUACACUUUACUAAGAGUGCCGA